GAGGGUAUAGCUCAAUGGUAGAGUGUGUGGUUAGCAUGCAUGAGUCCCAGGUUCAAUCCCCAGUACCCCA
RNAcentral lists this transfer RNA (70 nucleotides) under Camelus bactrianus (Bactrian camel). It matches the Rfam family "tRNA". Rfam says of the family: Transfer RNA (tRNA) molecules are approximately 80 nucleotides in length. Their secondary structure includes four short double-helical elements and three loops (D, anti-codon, and T loops). The record is from Rfam by way of RNAcentral. Lineage: Eukaryota; Metazoa; Chordata; Mammalia; Artiodactyla; Camelidae. RNAcentral also lists the same sequence under 2 other names.